UUCUCCCAAUCAAGUUGUCUAGCAGGAUCAAUUUUUGAAGGACGAGCAUGAGGGUGUUCUAGUUGAGCAUGUUUGCAUAGUUCUGAAUAGGUCCCUGCGAAAGUACAUUGUUCUUCCUCACAACAACGCUUUUUCUCGUCCAAAUGUGCACGAGCUUUAUCAACAACCACCCACCCAGUAACUUCACCUCUACACAGGGGACAAGCUAGUUUACAAUUGCCCUCCACUAUCAUAUGCUGUGUAUUUGUUGUUAGAGAUUCAUCAGAAGUUGAAGGGGAUGGCAUACCACC
This 290-nucleotide unclassified non-coding RNA is filed under the name Hevea brasiliensis (rubber tree). Lineage: Eukaryota; Viridiplantae; Streptophyta; Magnoliopsida; Malpighiales; Euphorbiaceae. The record is from RNAcentral.